CUCCGCCGGCGACCGGCGCACGGGUGAGUAACACGUAUGCAACCUGCCCCUGUCAGGGGGACAACCCGCCGAAAGGCGGAUUAAUACCGUAUGUUGUCAUGUUGAUGCAUAUUUUCAUGACCAAAGGCUUCGGCCGGUAAAGGAUGGGGAUGCGUCUGAUUAGCUUGCCGGCGGGGUAACGGCCCACCGGGGCGACGAUCAGUAGGGGUUCUGAGAGGAAGGUCCCCCACAUUGGAACUGAGACACGGUCCAAACUCCUACGGAAGGCAGCAG
Molecule: ribosomal RNA, 273 nt
Filed under: uncultured bacterium
Lineage: Bacteria
Description: partial 16S ribosomal RNA
Rfam family: Bacterial small subunit ribosomal RNA
Source: RNAcentral